This 506-nucleotide ribosomal RNA is filed under the name uncultured bacterium. RNAcentral describes it as "partial 16S ribosomal RNA". It matches the Rfam family "Bacterial small subunit ribosomal RNA", at positions 30 to 523 of the family's 1533-position model. The record is from RNAcentral.
AUUGAACGCUGGCGGCAGGCCUAACACAUGCAAGUCGAACGGCAGCACAGAAGAGCUUGCUCUUUGGGUGGCGAGUGGCGGACGGGUGAGUAAUGUCUGGGAAACUGCCCGAUGGAGGGGGAUAACUACUGGAAACGGUAGCUAAUACCGCAUAACGUCGCAAGACCAAAGUGGGGGACCUUCGGGCCUCACACCAUCGGAUGUGCCCAGAUGGGAUUAGCUAGUAGGUGGGGUAAUGGCUCACCUAGGCGACGAUCCCUAGCUGGUCUGAGAGGAUGACCAGCCACACUGGAACUGAGACACGGUCCAGACUCCUACGGGAGGCAGCAGUGGGGAAUAUUGCACAAUGGGCGCAAGCCUGAUGCAGCCAUGCCGCGUGUAUGAAGAAGGCCUUCGGGUUGUAUAGUACUUUCAGCGGGGAGGAAGGCGGUGAGGUUAAUAACCUUGCCGAUUGACGUUACCCGCGGAGGAAGCACCGGCUAACUCCGUGCCAGCCGCCGCGGUAA